Chiloscyllium plagiosum (whitespotted bambooshark) is the source of this 1479-nucleotide long non-coding RNA. RefSeq lists it as uncharacterized. The record is from RefSeq and is a predicted model, not a curated record. Lineage: Eukaryota; Metazoa; Chordata; Chondrichthyes; Orectolobiformes; Hemiscylliidae.
AUUGGAUUCCUGUGAGUGUGGCAUUGAUGAUCCGGUCUAAUACCUGGGACUGGCAUUUGAAGGAAGACUGCUUUAAGUAAGUCAGGGCAUUGUGUUUUAAGAUGACUGCAGAAGCCACCUGAACUGCAAGCUGUCCAUGUUCUACAGAGGAUUACAAAAUGAACCCUGAACAAAAUUGCUAUGAAACCAAAAUGCAUUAAGGAAUGUAAUUCUCCUCUGAACCAAUUCAAUCAAAUUGAGGAUCUGCAUGGAACCAACUAAUUCAAAAUGUAAGACAUUUCAGCAGGGAUAAUUUCAUCUUCCAAUACCACUCGCCAUCUAGCUGUUAUGAAAUACAUGCAAAUAACCUUUGGCUUUCAUCCUUUUCUUUAAAGAGAAGGUCACUUUCAAUCAGCAUUGAAACAAUCAAUGGAACAGAGUUAUAACCUGUCCUCUCCAAUGCCUCUAUUCAUGUUUGGACUCGUCAAAAGGUGACCACUCUAAUCAAGUAAAGAUUAUUGACCAGGUUUUUCAGACCAGAUCCACUGAUCACUUGCUAGGGCUCUGCUGCAACCAUCCCAAGAAUGUAAUCAAAUUACCAAUUUUUGAACAGAAGCAUAUAAAACCAGUUCCACAAUCUCACCAAUUUUAGCUGCAGUAGUUAAUUUGGCUAUUGGUGUCUUUUCCAUUUUCUGAUAGUUUGUUCAUGACUAGCACAAUUUUAUGAAAUUGGGAAUUGAGAAUUAAGUCAAAGAAACUUGUGAAGUAUCAAACUGGAAAUAGUUUUGCUUUUGGCUCUGAAGUGCCUAUUCGUAUUGCUCUUCAACUAUUUUCAGCAGGCCACGCUGAUGGCUCUCUUUUUAUUUCUGGGAAGUCACUCAACCCACUGAGCAUUUGCCUACAACUGUGUGAUUGAGAACAAAAAUUUAACAGGGUUAGGAGAAAUCCAAUCACUGUCUCUUCUGUAUUUCACAUUGUCUAUAUUAGAUAAUAUUUAAACAAAGUGCUUGGCUGGUGAAAACAGGACUUAAAACUGAUUCUUGGACAUGAAGCUUACAAGGUGCAAAAUCAAUGCAGCAACUUUACUGGAGCCAUGUAAGUCACAUGGUUUGAUCUAAACAAUAUCAUAAAUAUAUGUCCCGGGGACAUCCCUGCUAGAUGACCUGACUUAGCAUCACUUUGAUCCUGCAAGUCUAUUCUGGACACACAUCGAUAUGUUAUAUCUACAAUUGAAAAUAAUACAUUCAUCAAAGUGAGGGACCCGUUGCUCCCAAGCUGAUCAUUAAAUCAAAGAGUCUCUCUCCUUCUGUGACGGGGGGGAAUGGGUGCUGUUUGGAAUCAUUUGGUUGUGACCUCCUCCAUUUCUUAAUUACAUAACAUGAUGAUGACUAUCCUAUGGCAUUGUUGUGAUGUCCUAACUUCUAGUCCUUCUUCACAGUAUUAGUCCUGUUGCAGGUGGUACUAUGUUUGUAACACAAUUACAGUGGUAUAUAAACUUCU